This 253-nucleotide ribosomal RNA is filed under the name uncultured bacterium. Its description in RNAcentral is "partial 16S ribosomal RNA". It matches the Rfam family "Bacterial small subunit ribosomal RNA", at positions 524 to 776 of the family's 1533-position model. The record is from RNAcentral.
UACGGAGGGUGCAAGCAUUAAUCGGAUUUAUUGGGCGUAAAGGGCGCGUAGGCGGGUAUGUAAGUCAGAUGUGAAAUCUCGGAGCUCAACUCCGGAACGGCAUUUGAAACUGCAUGUCUAGAGGGUAGACGGAGAAAGUAGAAUUCCACAAGUAGCGGUGAAAUGCGUAGAUAUGUGGAAGCAUACCAGUGGCGAAGGCGACUUUCUAGUUUAUACCUGACGCUGAGGCGCGAAAGCAAGGGGAUCAAACAGG